Non-coding RNA from Vicia faba (fava bean), 453 nucleotides. The record is from the annotation of a GenBank genome assembly. Lineage: Eukaryota; Viridiplantae; Streptophyta; Magnoliopsida; Fabales; Fabaceae.
AUGGCCAAGACAGUUUCAAUCUUUAUUCACAAAAAGAAAAACUCACCAGAAAAUUCUCAGCAACUUCUCAUCUAUCUUCUUAUCAAUCUUCAACCUCCACGCAACUUCAACCUUCAAUUCUCUCAUCUCUCUGUAAGACUUAAAGCUCUUCACACUUCAUCUUUAUCAAUACCGCACCAACCUCGCUUCUCUGCAGUACCUCUUCAAUUUUCUGCUUCAUCAACAACGCUCAACAAUGCAACAUCACACGACGCUCUGAAUAAGAACAGAUCACACGUAUCAGAAUCACACAUCAACGCGACGAAAACUCAGAAAUCGCAAAAGCAAAAAUUAAAGAAGAAGAGGAGCGGCGAAUUUGAAAGGAGACGAGGAGAAGUGAGGCUGAGACGGAGGCGUUGGCUGGUCAGAGCGGACGAAACUCGUCGGAGAAGAGAAGGAAGUUAUCGUUCAUGA